UGCCAGUUAAAGAUGCCCAAUGGGCGCGUCGUUGAAGCAUGGCCCGUCAGCCUCAUAGUGUUGGGUCCAUCUCAUUUGGGUGGCCUAAACCUAAAGUUUUAUAAGUUUGGGUAGUUAAACAAUUAAAGAAAACUUAAAGGGGGUAAUAAAAUUUGCCAUGAAAUUUGGCUUUAAAAUGCAAGCGGUAGCCCUAGUUUCACUAUAGCAAAAAGACAAAUUGCAGAAGAAGUAGUGAGAGAGAAAGGCAGAGGAGGUUUUGGUUUUGGGAAUAGUGAUUUCAAUCUUUGAUUGAACGAUUAGAAAGUGAAAUUAACUCUGUUUUUUCCCAAAUUUUAAGAGUAAGUUUUUGACAUUGCUCUUUACAAUUCUACUGGUCUUGAUUUUCAUUUUAUCCUCCUGUUGGCUGUUAUUUGAGAUAUUCACUUAUUAGAGAGACAUUUAUUAGGCUAUUAUUAUAAGUCAAAAAUAUUGAGAUUCUUGAUGUUGUUAGCCUCUAGUAUUAUCUAGAGAAGAAUUUUUACUGUGAUCCCAUUAAUAUAAUGGAAGAUUAUAUUGAACUAUGGUCCUAUGAUUUUUCCAGCUUUAGGUUUUCCACGUAAAACUUUUUUUUUUUUAGAAGACAUGCUUGGCGUACUUUUUUAAGUCCAUGUGCCCUUUUUUCAAACACAUGCACUAACAACAACAACAAUGAUUUUUUUCUUAAGGGUUAAUGUUUAAUUGUUAACUUAUACUUCCAUGGAGUUAUAAAUCAUAAUUUAUAAUAACAUUAAUGCUUACAAGUUCCAAAUUAAAUAUAAUAAUUAACAUUUCCUUAACACAAUUACACAACCAUAUUAUCUAAUUUCAUAAUAACCAAUUAUAAUACAAAGAUACAUAAAUCUAAUUCCAUAAACUAUGGUAAUGACCAAUAAAAAUUAAAAUUGCAAUCCUGAAAUAAUGAUUACAAGAAGUUACAGUUAUGAGAUAUCAAUUACAAUAUAGCUGGGAUGUACAGUUAACUGUACCGAUGCAAAUUAUACUUAAUUUUAUUUAAAAUACUAAUAUUGUACUUGCACUUGAACGCCAUUGAAUGAAAAUGUAACUUUUGAUUUAUCAUAAAAUAUAUAUCAUUCAUAAUUUUAUUUUUUGUGUGCAAAUGUGAAAAAUAUUUAAUUCACAAAUGAAACAUAUCUCCUUCGACUAAUUUAUAAUUUCACAAAUGGAAAAUUACAAUCAUAAAUAUCUAGAUUUAUCUUUGAUAAAAUCACGAUAUUUAUAAUUUUAUUUAUUAAAGUUAUAACAUCAUUUGUUUAUUUAAUAAAUUAUAAAUAUAAAAUAAUUAGAUUUUUUUUAAACUAAGACUUAAAUUAAUUUUAAAAAUUUACACUAAUAAAAUAUAUUAAAAGAUUCGAUUUCAAGUUAUUUAUAAAAUCAUAAUAUUUUAUAUUUACUUUCAUUAAAAAAUUAGUCAAUCUCUAAUCAUGCCAUUCUUUUAAGGCACACGUGCCUAAAAUUCUCAGCCCAGCCCAGUUCGAGUGCGAGUCAUGGCGUGCCGCGUGCCCAUACUAAAAAGAGUUUAUGCUAUAUGUGGCCGUACCAUGCCGCGUGCCGCUAGGUCCAUUGGCCAUCUUUAGUGUUGAUAAUUAAAAUCGAAACAACUAUUCUUGAAAAUAGCCUAGAGUUCCAUUGAAAAGAUAAGAUUAACUGAGCCUAGUGUAUUGACACGACUUAAAAGUCUUUGAUUUACUCUCAAGUAUAAGAGUGCCUAUAUAUAAUAUAUCUCGGUGAGUCCGAGGUCGAUCCACAAAGAAAAGAUUUAAUU
Molecule: long non-coding RNA, 1801 nt
Filed under: Citrus x clementina
Lineage: Eukaryota; Viridiplantae; Streptophyta; Magnoliopsida; Sapindales; Rutaceae
Description: Citrus clementina (C. clementina) long non-coding RNA (CCLE_LNC005465)
Source: RNAcentral